CAGCACCUCAAGUGGUCAGGAUGAUUAUUGGGCCUAAAGCAUCCGUAGCCGGCGCUGUAAGUUUUCGGUUAAAUCUGUACGCUCAACGUACAGGCUGCCGGGAAUACUGCAGCGCUAGGGAGUGGGAGAGGUAGACGGUACUCGGUAGGAAGGGGUAAAAUCCUUUGAUCUAUUGAUGACCACCUGUGGCGAAGGCGGUCUACCAGAACACGUCCGACGGUGAGAGAUGAAAGCUGGGGAGCAAACCGGAUUAGAUACCCGAGUAGUCC
Molecule: ribosomal RNA, 269 nt
Filed under: uncultured archaeon
Lineage: Archaea
Description: partial 16S ribosomal RNA
Rfam family: Archaeal small subunit ribosomal RNA
Source: RNAcentral